AAGUCGAACGAUGAACCUCCUUCGGGAGGGGAUUAGUGGCGAACGGGUGAGUAACACGUGGGCAAUCUGCCCUUCACUCUGGGACAAGCCCUGGAAACGGGGUCUAAUACCGGAUACGACCUCCGACCGCAUGGUCUGGUGGUGGAAAGCUCCGGCGGUGAAGGAUGAGCCCGCGGCCUAUCAGCUUGUUGGUGGGGUGAUGGCCUACCAAGGCGACGACGGGUAGCCGGCCUGAGAGGGCGACCGGCCACACUGGGACUGAGACACGGCCCAGACUCCUACGGGAGGCAGCAGUGGGGAAUAUUGCACAAUGGGCGAAAGCCUGAUGCAGCGACGCCGCGUGAGGGAUGACGGCCUUCGGGUUGUAAACCUCUUUCAGCAGGGAAGAAGCGAGAGUGACGGUACCUGCAGAAGAAGCGCCGGCUAACUACGUGCCAGCAGCCGCGGUAAUACGUAGGGCGCAAGCGUUGUCCGGAAUUAUUGGGCGUAAAGAGCUCGUAGGCGGCUUGUCGCGUCGGAUGUGAAAGCCCGGGGCUUAACCCCGGGUCUGCAUUCGAUACGGGCAGGCUAGAGUUCGGUAGGGGAGAUCGGAAUUCCUGGUGUAGCGGUGAAAUGCGCAGAUAUCAGGAGGAACACCGGUGGCGAAGGCGGAUCUCUGGGCCGAUACUGACGCUGAGGAGCGAAAGCGUGGGGAGCGAACAGGAUUAGAUACCCUGGUAGUCCACGCCGUAAACGUUGGGAACUAGGUGUGGGCGACAUUCC
RNAcentral lists this ribosomal RNA (762 nucleotides) under Streptomyces sp. RM521. Its description in RNAcentral is "bacterial SSU rRNA". It matches the Rfam family "Bacterial small subunit ribosomal RNA", at positions 59 to 835 of the family's 1533-position model. Lineage: Bacteria; Bacillati; Actinomycetota; Actinomycetes; Kitasatosporales; Streptomycetaceae. The record is from RNAcentral.